Molecule: transfer RNA, 102 nt
Filed under: Botrytis cinerea
Lineage: Eukaryota; Fungi; Ascomycota; Leotiomycetes; Helotiales; Sclerotiniaceae
Also listed under: 1 other name
Description: tRNA-Val
Source: RNAcentral
GGCCGGAUGGUGUAGUUGGUUAUCACAUUCCCUUUACAAUGUGUCUCUUAGAGAUGUACUUGAAAUCGGGAAAGGUCCUGGGAUCGUGCCCCAGUCUGGUCA